This 253-nucleotide ribosomal RNA is filed under the name uncultured bacterium. Its description in RNAcentral is "partial 16S ribosomal RNA". It matches the Rfam family "Bacterial small subunit ribosomal RNA", at positions 524 to 776 of the family's 1533-position model. The record is from RNAcentral.
GACGAACCGUGCGAACGUUGUUCGGAAUCACUGGGCUUAAAGGGCGCGUAGGCGGACCCCCAAGUCCGGGGUGAAAUCCUCCGGCUUAACCGGAGAAUUGCCUGGGAUACUGGGGGUCUUGAGGGAGGUAGGGGCACGCGGAACUUCCGGUGGAGCGGUGAAAUGCGUUGAUAUCGGAAGGAACGCCCGUGGCGAAAGCGAGGCCCUGGACGUCUGCUGACGCUGAGACGCGAAAGCCAGGGGAGCGAACGGG